Small nucleolar RNA from Saimiri boliviensis boliviensis (Bolivian squirrel monkey), 135 nucleotides. Ensembl annotates it as small nucleolar RNA, H/ACA box 5A. Its record names the gene SNORA5A. The record is from Ensembl. Lineage: Eukaryota; Metazoa; Chordata; Mammalia; Primates; Cebidae.
UGCAGCUGUGUCAAAUUCAGUGCCUUUCCUUCACGUGGUAGGCACUGGCCCAGAAGGCUGCCACAGAAACACUGUGACUCAUGGGCCCUGUUCCUGUGUCUCCGGGCUCAGGGAUAAAUUUGGUUACAGACACCA